GUUUUUAUGGUGUAAAUUAAACAUAUAAUCCUUUCAAGAUUAGGCUAAUAGAUUAUUUAAAAACA
Molecule: transfer RNA, 65 nt
Filed under: Haustorioides koreanus
Lineage: Eukaryota; Metazoa; Arthropoda; Malacostraca; Amphipoda; Dogielinotidae
Description: tRNA-Glu
Source: RNAcentral